AUUGAACGCUGGCGGCAGGCCUAACACAUGCAAGUCGAGCGAGCGGCGGAAGGGUGAGUAAUGUAUGGGGACUGCCCGAUAGAGGGGGGUAACUACUGGAAAAGGUAGCUAAUAACGCCUACUAUCGGGUAAUCCAUAUGGGGUUAGAUAGUAGGUGAGGUAAUGGCUCACCGAGGCGACGAUCCCUAGCUGGUCUGAGAGGAUGAUCAGCCACACUGGGACUGAGACACGGCCCAGACUCCUACGGAGGCAGCAGUGGGGAAUAUUGCACAAUGGGCGCAAGCCUGAUGCAGUCAUGCCGCGUGUAUGAAGAAGGCCCUAGGGUUGUAAAGUACUUUCAGUCGGGAGGCGUUACCGACAGAAGAAGCACCGGCUAACUCCGUGCCAGCAGCCGCGGUAAUAC
Molecule: ribosomal RNA, 403 nt
Filed under: uncultured bacterium
Lineage: Bacteria
Description: partial 16S ribosomal RNA
Rfam family: Bacterial small subunit ribosomal RNA
Source: RNAcentral